This 1235-nucleotide ribosomal RNA is filed under the name metagenome. RNAcentral's name for it is "bacterial LSU rRNA". It matches the Rfam family "Bacterial large subunit ribosomal RNA", at positions 1564 to 2808 of the family's 2925-position model. The record is from RNAcentral.
UGAAUACGAGACGCUAAGGCGUUGAAGUAGUGUAUGUCAUACUUCCAAGAAAAGCUUGCACUGUCAUAGAUAAAAAACGCCUGUACCAUAACCGACACAGGUGGGUAGGUAGAGUAUACUAAGGGGCGCGAGAUAACUCUCUCUAAGGAACUCGGCAAAAUAACUCCGUAACUUCGGGAGAAGGAGUGCCUUAUUUAUAAGGCUGCAAUAACAAGAUCCAAGCAACUGUUUAUCAAAAACACAGGUCUCCGCUAAGUCGUAAGACGAUGUAUGGGGGCUGACGCCUGCCCAGUGCCAGAAGGUUAAAGAAGUUGGUUAGCAAUAGCGAAGCUGAUAACUGAAGCCCUGGUGAACGGCGGCCGUAACGAUAACGGUCCUAAGGUAGCGAAAUUCCCUGUCGGGUAAGUUCCGACCCGCACGAAAGGCGUAAUGAUUUGGAUACUGUCUCGGAGAGGGGCUCGGUGAAAUAGACUUGUCUGUGAAGAUGCGGACUACCUGCACCAGGACAGAAAGACCCUAUGAAGCUUUACUGUAACUUGAAAUUGAAAUUGGACUUUAUUCGCGCAGUAUAGGUGGGAGGCGUUGAUUGUAAUCUUGCGGGAUUAUUGGAGCCAUCAGUGAGAUACCACCCUUGUAAUGUUAGAUUUCUAACUUUGAAUCAUUAUCUGGUCAAAGAACAGUUUCAGGCGGGCAGUUUGACUGGGGCGGUCGCCUCCUAAACGGUAACGGAGGCGUACAAAGGUUUCCUCUGAACGGUUAGAAAUCGUAUCUAGAGUGUAAAGGCAUAAGGAAGCUUGACUGUGAGACCUACAAGUCGAGCAGGGACGAAAGUCGGUCUUAGUGAUCUGACGGUACUGAGUGGAAAGGCCGUCACUCAACGGAUAAAAGUUACUCUAAGGAUAACAGGCUGAUCUCCCCCAAGAGUUCACAUCGACGGGGAGGUUUGGCACCUCGAUGUCGGCUCAUCGCAUCCUGGGGCGGUAGUACGUCCCAAGGGUUGGGCUGUUCGCCCAUGAAAGCGGUACGCGAGCUGGGUUCAGAACGUCGUGAGACAGUUCGGUCCAUAUCCGGUGUAGGCGUUAGAAUAUUGAGAGGAGCCUUCUUUAGUACGAGAGGACCGAGAAGGACAUACCUCUGGUGUACCAGUUAUCGUGCCAACGGUAAACGCUGGGUAGCUAUGUAUGGAGUGGAUAACCGCUGAAAGCAUCUAAGUGGGAAGCCCACCUCAAGAUAAG